Long non-coding RNA from Canis lupus familiaris (dog), 1144 nucleotides. RefSeq lists it as uncharacterized. The transcript has 2 exons. NCBI's taxonomy places the organism in Eukaryota, Metazoa, Chordata, Mammalia, Carnivora, Canidae. The record is from RefSeq and is a predicted model, not a curated record.
UUUGUGAGGUCAGCUCUGACAGUGUCCCUUUGUGCCUGGGUUCCUGACCUUGAUCAACUUCUCUGCUGGUUAACGGCAGAGCACUUGCUGCACAAUGAGCACACAUUUCAGUGAGCUGGAAAAAUAAGGGAAGCAAGCUUCCAGGCCCUUUAUCUCUGGAGAUUACUCAAGUAACAAACCCUUGGAGGAGGCAAGUCAGGGCAGAGCCUCAGUGGGUGUUAUAGCUCAAGGAGACCAUCAGCGCGUCCCUGUCCCUGACCGGGCAGGGCAGAGGAGAAGACUGCGGCCAAGGAUGUGGCUUCUUAAGGUCGUUGUCUGGGCAGGGGCUCAGCUGAGCCCAGGACUCCCAUGAUUGAAGAAGCUUCUGGAAGACAGAUUCUGCCCCUAUUGUAUAUGAUUUUGAUAGUAUCUCGCUUGGUGACAUUUGUUAAAAGGUAGAGCUGAUCCUGUUUUACAAAUGAAAGCGGUGAGCAACAGUCAACAGCUCCUUGUAACUGCAAAAUUAAGAGGCACUUGAUGGGAUGAGCACGGGGUGAUAUGCUAUAUGUUGGCAAAUUGAACUCCAAUAAAAAAAAAAAAAAGAGGCUAACUGACACUUCAACACUGCCUAAGGAACUCGUUCAUGGAAACAGUUGAAGAACUGAAGUCAUCUGGUUAAUUAAACACACACAUGUUCAUGAAGAUACCACUUAGGCUUUUCAGAAGGCACAUACCUCGCUGUUGGCGCUUUCCACAAAUGAGCCCCCAAACAUGGCAGCCAUCCACCUGCAGCUACAGAUCAGCAACGGUUUGUGGGCGCUGAUGGCUCCAUCAUCCAACCUAAAUGUCACAUCUGCCCAAGGAUUGAGGAAACAGAACCGUGAGCCAGCUCCGCUGAGUCUGCCUUGUUCAUCAACCUACAUCUCCUGCUCCUCUCUUCCGUAUCUUUCCUUCGUGAUUUUGUAUCAACCUCCACCUCUGGAACUGCCAAUUCCUUCUAUGCCAUCCAAGGAUCAAGGGGUAAACAUUUAAAAUUGCACCUAAGAUCCCAGCACAAAUUCUCUGAACCAUACAGUAACACAAAGGAAAGGAAUAUUUUUCUUUCUCCAUACUCUGAAAAAUUUCAAACACAAUAAAAACAGUGGAAGAAAUAGUACAUUGUUAA